CAGAGAUGCUGCUGAACAGUGCAUCAGGGAAGCUCAGCAUGGGGUGUUCCCUUUGUGCCUUCAAAUCUGGUGUCUUCAGCUGCAGACAACACUGAAGUAGAGUUUCUGUCUCCUCCAGGGCUAUAGAGAAAUACACUGUCUCAUCAUUCUAGGGAUUUCUUCUGUUUGUCAAGGGAGCACCAGAACGAGAAAAUAUGUCACGUUCUCUACUUCUCCAAACCUUUCAAACCUGUUUGAGAUCCUACUAAAUUCACCUCUAAGCAACUGUGUUAAGAAAGAACUACAUGGCCCCAAGUGCUCUUGUGAAAUAUGACUAUCCAGGACUAAAUUAAAGGGCCCCUGACUAUCUACCCUAGGAAGGAAGAGAGGAACUGAAAUGUUCUCACCCAAAAUAUGAGCCAUCCUGAAGGAGACGACUAUGUGAAGUUCCCUCAUUGUGUCAGUAUACAGUGUGUGUAUGAAGAGAAACAUCGCAUUCUAUCCCAAAAUACGUACAAAUAGUAUGUGUCAAUCAAAAAUGAAAAGAGUUAAGUAGAAAAGAGGAAAUGAAUACUGUUACAAGCAUCCCUGCAACAAAACUGGAGAAGCCCGGAAGUUGCUUGGGGCUUCGGUUUGUUUUCCACCAGGGACAAACCGAGGUCAUCUCUAAGCGCUGUGCUGCUCCAGAAACCAAAUCCUCAGAGGAUGGCUCUCACUCAGUGCGCAGAGCUCCUUUCCCUGGUGUAACCACUGGGAGAACUUAUAGCCCAUCGAUGAACACUGCCCUGUUCCUCCAUCCCCCGUACGAUUGUAGCCUCCGCUCACAACCAUCCUACUCCAAACUUCUAUGAGAUCAACUUUUGGAUUCCACAGAUGGGUA
Molecule: long non-coding RNA, 859 nt
Organism: Cavia porcellus (domestic guinea pig)
Lineage: Eukaryota; Metazoa; Chordata; Mammalia; Rodentia; Caviidae
Exons: 4
Source: RefSeq, a predicted model, not a curated record